This 310-nucleotide ribosomal RNA is filed under the name Escherichia coli. Its description in RNAcentral is "bacterial SSU rRNA". It matches the Rfam family "Bacterial small subunit ribosomal RNA", at positions 1 to 307 of the family's 1533-position model. Lineage: Bacteria; Pseudomonadati; Pseudomonadota; Gammaproteobacteria; Enterobacterales; Enterobacteriaceae. The record is from RNAcentral.
AAAUUGAAGAGUUUGAUCAUGGCUCAGAUUGAACGCUGGCGGCAGGCCUAACACAUGCAAGUCGAACGGUAACAGGAAUCAGCUUGCUGAUUCGCUGACGAGUGGCGGACGGGUGAGUAAUGUCUGGGAAACUGCCUGAUGGAGGGGGAUAACUACUGGAAACGGUAGCUAAUACCGCAUAAUGUCGCAAGACCAAAGAGGGGGACCUUCGGGCCUCUUGCCAUCGGAUGUGCCCAGAUGGGAUUAGCUAGUAGGUGGGGUAACGGCUCACCUAGGCGACGAUCCCUAGCUGGUCUGAGAGGAUGACCAG